UACGUAGGGGGCUAGCGUUGUCCGGAAUCAUUGGGCGUAAAGCGUCCGCAGGUGGUUUUCCAAGUCUGCUGUUAAAGCGCGAGGCUUAACCUCGUACAGGCAGUGGAAACUGGAUGACUAGAGUAUGGUAGGGGUAGCGGGAAUUCCCAGUGUAGCGGUGAAAUGCGUAGAUAUUGGGAAGAACACCAGCGGCGAAAGCGCGCUACUGGGCCAUUACUGACACUCAUGGACGAAAGCUAGGGGAGCGAAAGGG
Molecule: ribosomal RNA, 253 nt
Filed under: uncultured bacterium
Lineage: Bacteria
Description: partial 16S ribosomal RNA
Rfam family: Bacterial small subunit ribosomal RNA
Source: RNAcentral